UACGAAGGGGGCUAGCGUUGCUCGGAAUCACUGGGCGUAAAGCGCACGUAGGCGGAUUGUUAAGUCAGGGGUGAAAUCCUGGAGCUCAACUCCAGAACUGCCUUUGAUACUGGAGAGCUUGAGUCCGGGAGAGGUGAGUGGAACUCCGAGUGUAGAGGUGAAAUUCGUAGAUAUUCGCAAGAACACCAGUGGCGAAGGCGGCUCACUGGCCCGAUACUGACGCUGAUGCACGAAAGCGUGGGGAGCAAACAGG
RNAcentral lists this ribosomal RNA (253 nucleotides) under uncultured bacterium. RNAcentral describes it as "partial 16S ribosomal RNA". It matches the Rfam family "Bacterial small subunit ribosomal RNA", at positions 524 to 776 of the family's 1533-position model. The record is from RNAcentral.